CCAAACCUGCUACAUGUUGAGAAAGAAAUAAAGAGAUACUAAAAGUGAAAGGAAAGAAAGAAAGUCCAAUAAUAAAGAGAUAUAAAGAGAUAUAAAGACACAAGUAAGCGGAGGAAGGUGAGGAAAGUACAACAGGAAACUUGGGGAUACUGGUACAAUUGGUGAAAGUAAGCAGCUUUCAACUUGGGGAACUGUAUGACUAAAGGGAAACUAUCAAAAAGAGGGAAGACUCAUAGGGGCGGAUACACAAAAUAAGCAACUGUAUAAGAAAGCAUACACGAAUGGAAAUCUUGCCUAACUAACCUUAUUGAUAUUCAAAUUAAUUAUUAUUAUUAGCACGAAAAGAUUAUCCGAAGGAAAAAAAAUACUCAGAGAACAAGAUGGCAACAUUUAAAUUUAAAUCAGACAGAGAAAUAAAAGACCCAAGAGGUGCAAUUAGAAGACCAUCCCUGAAUGAGGAAAUGAACCUGAAGGAUAUGAUGAAAGACAUGAUGAGAGAGAUUCAGAAAAUUCAGGAGAAGCAAGACGUAUACCAGAAAAUACAACAGGAACAAAUGUCGGAUUUUAAAAAGGAGAUUAAAGAAGAACUGGGGAUAAUGAAGAACGAGAUUACAACAUUACAACAGGAAAUAAAGGACCUGAAAAAUGAAAAGAAAGAACUAAAGAUAACUCAAGAAAAGACCCAAUAUAAACUAAAAGAACUAGAGAAAAAAAAUGAAAAAAUAAACGCAAAACAAGAAGCCAUGGAGGCGAGAGAAUUGGAACAUCAAUUAAGAAUGAGAAAUAUACCGGAAGAGCCAGGAGAAAACAUAAGAGAGAAAGUAAUAGAGAUACUAAUGAAACUUCUGGACUGCUCCGAACAGGAGAUACAAAUACAAAUGGACAGAACGUACAGGAUUAACACAAAUUUCUCAAGAAGAAACAAAACCCCGAGAGACGUGAUAGUAAACCUUACAAAGAAAAUUGCAAGAGAUGAAAUAUUGAGAAUAAAUAACAAGAAACAGAUAUUCUACAAAGAGACAAAAAUAGCGAUAUUGAAGGAAGUACCAAAUACAAUAAUAAAUAGAAGGAAAAAAUAUACCUUCCUGACAGAGGAAUUGAAGCAACAGAAGGCGAGAUACAGGUGGGAAAAAAAACUGGGACAAUGCUUUUAUGCCUCGGCAUUAGAAAAAAAAAAGGGGGGGUAG
This 1187-nucleotide long non-coding RNA is filed under the name Anolis carolinensis (green anole). RNAcentral's name for it is "lncRNA (ENSACAG00000039543.1)". The record is from RNAcentral. Lineage: Eukaryota; Metazoa; Chordata; Lepidosauria; Squamata; Anolidae.